UUUAAGCUAAUAAAAUAUAUUAAAGCUAGUUAGGGGGAAAUAUAAGUGUAUUAUUAAUAAUAAAAGGUGAAAUUAGGUUAUUAUUAAAUAAAUAAAGUAUAUUGAGACUGAAGCUAAAAAGGUUUAAUUAUAAACUAGGAUUAGAUACCCUAUUAUUUUAAACUAUAAGUGGUAAUAAGCUUUAGACAAGUAGUAGAUAAAUACUUAAAAAUUAAAAAAUUUGGCGGUGAUUUAAUCUUUUCAGAGGAACUUGUUUUUUAAUCGAUAAACCACGUUUAAUCUUACUUAUUUUAGUAUAAUCAGUAUGUAUACCAUCAUUAUCAGGUGAUUUUUAAAAAAGGGAAUUACUAAAAACAAUUGGUUAAGAAAAUUAGAUCAUGGUGCAGCUUAUAAAUAAGGUAAAAUGAGUUACAAUAAAGUUUUUUAAAAACGGAUUAGUAGAGUAAGAAUUUACUAUGAAGGUGGAUUUGAUUGUAAAUAUGGAUUAAUAAGCUUAAUUGAUAUUGGUUCUAAAUCAU
Molecule: ribosomal RNA, 518 nt
Filed under: Metopograpsus quadridentatus
Lineage: Eukaryota; Metazoa; Arthropoda; Malacostraca; Decapoda; Grapsidae
Description: partial 12S ribosomal RNA
Source: RNAcentral